CUUGGGCGGCCCCAGCCCCAGGCCCCACGAGUGCGCCUCGCCGCUGAGGCUGGACGUGCCCCCCGAGGGCAGGGAGCGGCCCACGGCCUCCAGCGUGGGGAGCGCCCGAGUCCUCUCGGCCACGAGCUGGACGCUCUUCAGGACGUUUCACCGCCCCCUCGCCCCGCACCUCCAGCCUUCCCGACUCGCAGAGUCUCCCGAGGCCCCUUUUCGCCUCGGGUUUAUUUAUUGACUGUCUUUCCCCCUGUCCUCGACAGAAGAGUGGGAGGUGAGAAGCCCGUCUCCUCAGUGAGCCAGCAUUUCAGGGGGAGCUGGCGGACUCCCACUCCCCGCUCCCUUCCAGCCAAGCUGCCUUAACUCGCCCCUCGGGGCUCCCCCAGAGACUGUGCCCCGGGCGGGCCGCGCGCGCUGUGUCCAGAGUCCUCGGGCCUUCUGGGUCUGGGACGUGCCUCUCCUACUGUGUAGGAGCCUCCGCUUCCCAAUACAG
Molecule: long non-coding RNA, 487 nt
Filed under: Homo sapiens (human)
Lineage: Eukaryota; Metazoa; Chordata; Mammalia; Primates; Hominidae
Description: non-protein coding lnc-LYSMD1-3:1
Source: RNAcentral